GAAGAGAGAAGGAUUACACCCAAGAUGGCACAGUGGACCUCAAUGGCAAACCAGUUUUAAGAUCAAAUACUGGAAGGUGGAGAGCUUGUUCCUUCAUUGUAGGGUACGAAAUGAUUGAAAGAAUGGCAUACUAUGGGAUAGCAUCAAAUCUAGUAUUGUAUCUAACAAAGAAGCUUCAUGAGGGCACUGUCAAAUCUUCAAAUCACGUGACCAACUGGG
This 219-nucleotide small RNA is filed under the name Vigna angularis var. angularis. Its description in RNAcentral is "Non-protein coding transcript". Lineage: Eukaryota; Viridiplantae; Streptophyta; Magnoliopsida; Fabales; Fabaceae. The record is from RNAcentral.